RNAcentral lists this small nuclear RNA (139 nucleotides) under Castor canadensis (American beaver). RNAcentral's name for it is "U4 spliceosomal RNA (ENSCCNG00000002909.1)". It matches the Rfam family "U4 spliceosomal RNA". From Rfam's summary of the family: U4 small nuclear RNA (U4 snRNA) is a component of the major U2-dependent spliceosome. The structure of U4 snRNA from yeast and human has been reported. The record is from RNAcentral. Lineage: Eukaryota; Metazoa; Chordata; Mammalia; Rodentia; Castoridae.
AGCUUGCACAGGGGCAGUAUCUUAGCCAAUAAGGUUUAUCUAAGGCAUGAAUAUUGCUAAUUUAAAACUUCCUGAAAACCCCACCAUGAGGGCUUGAAAUACAGUCACCAAUGGCAACUUUUAACAAUCUCUUCAGGGA